Non-coding RNA from Acanthosepion pharaonis, 99 nucleotides. The record is from the annotation of a GenBank genome assembly. Lineage: Eukaryota; Metazoa; Mollusca; Cephalopoda; Sepiida; Sepiidae.
GUUAAAACACCAGUUCUUGAAUGACCACCAAAGUUAAGCAACACUGAACCUGGUCAGUACCUAGAUGGGUGAAUGCCUGGGAAUACCAGGUGCUGUAAG